AUUGAACGCUGGCGGCAUGCCUUACACAUGCAAGUCGAACGGCAGCGGACCUUCGGGUGCCGGCGAGUGGCGAACGGGUGAGUAAUAUAUCGGAACGUACCUUUCAGUGGGGGAUAACGUAGCGAAAGUUACGCUAAUACCGCAUAUUCUGUGAGCAGGAAAGCAGGGGAUCGCAAGACCUUGCGCUGAUUGAGCGGCCGAUAUCAGAUUAGCUAGUUGGUGAGGUAAAGGCUCACCAAGGCGACGAUCUGUAGCGGGUCUGGGAGGAUGAUCCGCCACACUGGAACUGAGACACGGUCCAGACUCCUACGGGAGGCAGCAGUGGGGAAGUUUGGACAAUGGGCGCAAGCCUGAUCCAGCAAUGCCGCGUGCAGGAUGAAGGCC
This 384-nucleotide ribosomal RNA is filed under the name uncultured bacterium. RNAcentral describes it as "bacterial SSU rRNA". It matches the Rfam family "Bacterial small subunit ribosomal RNA", at positions 30 to 416 of the family's 1533-position model. The record is from RNAcentral.